GGAAUUUUGGACAAUGGACGCAAGUCUGAUCCAGCCAUUCCGCGUGCAGGAUGAAGGCCCUCGGGUUGUAAACUGCUUUUGUACGGAACGAAAAGGUUUCUAUUAAUACUAGGAGCUCAUGACGGUACCGUAAGAAUAAGCACCGGCUAACUACGUGCCAGCAGCCGCGGUAAUACGUAGGGUGCGAGCGUUAAUCGGAAUUACUGGGCGUAAAGCGUGCGCAGGCGGUUUUGUAAGUCGGAUGUGAAAUCCCCGGGCUCAACCUGGGAACUGCGUUCGAAACUGCAAGGCUAGAGUGUGUCAGAGGGGGGUAGAAUUCCACGUGUAGCAGUGAAAUGCGUAGAGAUGUGGAGGAAUACCAAUGGCGAAGGCAGCCCCCUGGGAUAACACUGACGCUCAUGCACGAAAGCGUGGGGAGCAAACAGGAUUAGAUACCCUGGUAGUCCACGCCCUAAACGAUGUCAACUAGUUGUUGGUAGAGUAAAAUCUAUGAGUAACGUAGCUAACGCGUGAAGUUGACCGCCUGGGGAGUACGGUCGCAAGAUUAAAACUCAAAUGAAUUGACGG
RNAcentral lists this ribosomal RNA (567 nucleotides) under uncultured bacterium. RNAcentral describes it as "bacterial SSU rRNA". It matches the Rfam family "Bacterial small subunit ribosomal RNA", at positions 358 to 916 of the family's 1533-position model. The record is from RNAcentral.